RNAcentral lists this ribosomal RNA (483 nucleotides) under uncultured bacterium. RNAcentral describes it as "bacterial SSU rRNA". It matches the Rfam family "Bacterial small subunit ribosomal RNA", at positions 28 to 507 of the family's 1533-position model. The record is from RNAcentral.
GAUGAACGCUGGCGGCGUGCUUAACACAUGCAAGUCGAACGAAGCGCUUAAAACGGAUUUCUUCGGAUUGAAGUUUUUGUGACUGAGUGGCGGACGGGUGAGUAACGCGUAGGCAACCUGCCCUUUGCAGAGGGAUAGCCAUUGGAAACGAUGAUUAAAACCUCAUAAUGCCAGACUGAGACAUCUCUAACUGGCCAAAGAUUUAUCGGCAAAGGAUGGGCCUGCGUCUGAUUAGCUAGUUGGUGGGGUAACGGCCUACCAAGGCGACGAUCAGUAGCCGACCUGAGAGGGUGAUCGGCCACAUUGGAACUGAGAAACGGUCCAAACUCCUACGGGAGGCAGCAGUGGGGAAUAUUGGGCAAUGGGCGCAAGCCUGACCCAGCAACGCCGCGUGAAGGAAGAAGGUCUUCGGAUUGUAAACUUCUGAUCUGUGGAAAAAAGAAGUGAUGGUACCACAGGAGCAAGCCACGGCUAAACUACGUG